Molecule: small nuclear RNA, 258 nt
Filed under: Fukomys damarensis (Damara mole-rat)
Lineage: Eukaryota; Metazoa; Chordata; Mammalia; Rodentia; Bathyergidae
Description: 7SK RNA (ENSFDAG00000004542.1)
Rfam family: 7SK RNA
About the family: 7SK was discovered as an abundant small nuclear RNA in the mid-70s but a possible function has only recently been suggested.
Source: RNAcentral
GGGUUUACGUGGCUGAUCUGGCUGGCUAGGUGGGUGGCUCCUUCCUCCCUCAUACCUCCAUGUGCAUCCUUCCUGAAGCUGUGUGCUUGGUUGCGUGAUCGAAAUGGACGACCACCCCCAGUAGAGGAGGACCAUUUCCUUGGUCAAGGGUACAAGAGUAGCUGCACUCCCCUGCUAGAACCUCCAAAAAAGCUUUCCAAGUAAAUAAAAUCACUCUUAUAUAUACAUUAGAAAACUUAGACUCAGAAGCUCAAGUUC